GUGCUCGCUUCGGCGGCACAUAUACUAAAAUUGGAACGAUACAGAGAAGAUUAGCAUGGCCCCUGUGCAAGGAUGACAUGCAAAUUUGUGAAGCGUUCCAUAUUUUA
Delphinapterus leucas (beluga whale) is the source of this 107-nucleotide small nuclear RNA. The record is from Ensembl. Lineage: Eukaryota; Metazoa; Chordata; Mammalia; Artiodactyla; Monodontidae.